ACUGGAGGACCGAACCGACUACCGUUGAAAAGUUAGCGGAUGACCUGUGGAUCGGAGUGAAAGGCUAAUCAAGCUCGGAGAUAGCUGGUUCUCCUCGAAAGCUAUUUAGGUAGCGCCUCAUGUAUCACUGUAGGGGGUAGAGCACUGUUUCGGCUAGGGGGUCAUCCCGACUUACCAAACCGAUGCAAACUCCGAAUACCUACAAGUGCCGAGCAUGGGAGACACACGGCGGGUGCUAACGUCCGUCGUGAAAAGGGAAACAACCCAGACCGUCAGCUAAGGUCCCAAAGUUAUGGUUAAGUGGGAAACGAUGUGGGAAGGCUUAGACAGCUAGGAGGUUGGCUUAGAAGCAGCCACCCUUUAAAGAAAGCGUAAUAGCUCACUAGUCGAGUCGGCCUGCGCGGAAGAUGUAACGGGGCUCAAACCAUACACCGAAGCUACGGGUAUCACGUAAGUGAUGCGGUAGAGGAGCGUUCUGUAAGCCUGUGAAGGUGAGUUGAGAAGCUUGCUGGAGGUAUCAGAAGUGCGAAUGCUGACAUGAGUAACGACAAUGGGUGUGAAAAACACCCACGCCGAAAGACCAAGGUUUCCUGCGCAACGUUAAUCGACGCAGGGUUAGUCGGUCCCUAAGGCGAGGCUGAAAAGCGUAGUCGAUGGAAAACAGGUUAAUAUUCCUGUACUUCUGGUUAUUGCGAUGGAGGGACGGAGAAGGCUAGGCCAGCUUGGCGUUGGUUGUCCAAGUUUAAGGUGGUAGGCUGAAAUCUUAGGUAAAUCCGGGGUUUCAAGGCCGAGAGCUGAUGACGAGUUACCCUCUGGGUGACGAAGUGGUUGAUGCCAUGCUUCCAAGAAAAGCUUCUAAGCUUCAGAUAACCAGGAACCGUACCCCAAACCGACACAGGUGGUUGGGUAGAGAAUACCAAGGCGCUUGAGAGAACUCGGGUGAAGGAACUAGGCAAAAUGGCACCGUAACUUCGGGAGAAGGUGCGCCGGUGAGGGUGAAGCACUUGCUGCGUAAGCCCACGCCGGUCGAAGAUACCAGGCCGCUGCGACUGUUUAUUAAAAACACAGCACUCUGCAAACACGAAAGUGGACGUAUAGGGUGUGACGCCUGCCCGGUGCCGGAAGGUUAAUUGAUGGGGUUAGCUAACGCGAAGCUCUUGAUCGAAGCCCCGGUAAACGGCGGCCGUAACUAUAACGGUCCUAAGGUAGCGAAAUUCCUUGUCGGGUAAGUUCCGACCUGCACGAAUGGCGUAACGAUGGCGGCGCUGUCUCCACCCGAGACUCAGUGAAAUUGAAAUCGCUGUGAAGAUGCAGUGUAUCCGCGGCUAGACGGAAAGACCCCGUGAACCUUUACUAUAGCUUUGCACUGGACUUUGAAUUUGCUUGUGUAGGAUAGGUGGGAGGCUUUGAAGCGUGGACGCCAGUCUGCGUGGAGCCAUCCUUGAAAUACCACCCUGGCAACUUUGAGGUUCUAACUCAGGUCCGUUAUCCGGAUCGAGGACAGUGUAUGGUGGGUAGUUUGACUGGGGCGGUCUCCUCCUAAAGAGUAACGGAGGAGUACGAAGGUGCGCUCAGACCGGUCGGAAAUCGGUCGUAGAGUAUAAAGGCAAAAGCGCGCUUGACUGCGAGACAGACACGUCGAGCAGGUACGAAAGUAGGUCUUAGUGAUCCGGUGGUUCUGUAUGGAAGGGCCAUCGCUCAACGGAUAAAAGGUACUCCGGGGAUAACAGGCUGAUACCGCCCAAGAGUUCAUAUCGACGGCGGUGUUUGGCACCUCGAUGUCGGCUCAUCACAUCCUGGGGCUGAAGCCGGUCCCAAGGGUAUGGCUGUUCGCCAUUUAAAGUGGUACGCGAGCUGGGUUUAGAACGUCGUGAGACAGUUCGGUCCCUAUCUGCCGUGGACGUUUGAGAUUUGAGAGGGGCUGCUCCUAGUACGAGAGGACCGGAGUGGACGAACCUCUGGUGUUCCGGUUGUCACGCCAGUGGCAUUGCCGGGUAGCUAUGUUCGGAAAAGAUAACCGCUGAAAGCAUCUAAGCGGGAAACUUGCCUCAAGAUGAGAUCUCACUGGAGCCUUGAGCUCCCUGAAGGGCCGUCGAAGACUACGACGUUGAUAGGCAGGGUGUGUAAGCGCUGUGAGGCGUUGAGCUAACCUGUACUAAUUGCCCGUGAGGCUUGACCAUAUAACACCCAAGCA
RNAcentral lists this ribosomal RNA (2194 nucleotides) under Mesorhizobium sp. Its description in RNAcentral is "partial 23S ribosomal RNA". It matches the Rfam family "Bacterial large subunit ribosomal RNA", at positions 765 to 2925 of the family's 2925-position model. Lineage: Bacteria; Pseudomonadati; Pseudomonadota; Alphaproteobacteria; Hyphomicrobiales; Phyllobacteriaceae. The record is from RNAcentral.